UGUGUCUGAUUUGUGGUUCUCAUAAAAUUAUACGAAAUUUACAAUAUUGUAUGUUUACAUGCAAUUUCUCUAUGUGCAUGAACACUUAUGUGGAGGGGGUGGGUCGGGUUUGGGAAGAUCGGUGGAUGUAGAGCCUGAAUCGGAAAUCACGUUGGUAAAAUCAGGUAAUCUUUUUCUAAGAUUUUUCAAUUUUAAUGUGUUUUGGUUUCUAGGUAGUACUUUGUUUUAGUUUUUCUUGUUUCGAAUUCAUGAUCGCUGACUGGUGUUUAUGUGAUAAUUAAAUUAUGUAAAUCUUCAUUUCUGGACUGUUUUUAACUGGGUUUCUUUGGGGGAAGUUUCAAUUUGACUAUAGAAGAUAUUCCCUAAUUUUUUUGCUCAGAUCUGACUCUGAUUUAGGUAAUUUACAUUAGGUUUCUUUUGGGGAAGUUUCAAUGUGCCUAUAGGAUAACGUCAUUAUCAUUGAAUGUGGAAAUUUGUCAAUGUCUUACAGUUAAUUGUGAUGCCCAUGACGAGAUGUGCAUUUUUUUUCCAUUACACUUAUGUGUUUUGUCAAUUAAACUCCAGACCAACUACUACUUAUCACCUAAGUUCCUAAAAUUCGUGUUUGUUAUAUGUUGUAGGAAAUGACCUAUUUUGAGAUAUUUUUUUGCAUCUCUCUUUUAUUCUACAUUCGAAAGAGGUAGAGUCGCAUUAUUGGGACUGUGGAUUGCUUUUUUCAUGUGUUAAUCUGUGUGAAGAUUGAUUGCCAUGCAUGAAGAAAUUAAAAAUGUUACUAAAGUGUCUGGCAAAAGUCAUUAUGUUUCAAUCACGGACGAGUGCAUGUAUACAUAGCAGAAUUACACCAAUUAAUAUGUGGGAGGAAGGAUAUAUAGCAUCUGAUCUGGUAAAGAAAAGGAAUCAUGAUUUAAAAAUUUGGAAGCCAUUACAUACUCAUUCUUGCUGCUCUGUGUAAAUGAUGUCACCUUCAUUUUCAAUAGCUUCUUGGUAGUCUAAAUUUAUAGUUCAUUUUUUCAGCGAUAUCCAAUGUGAUAAUGUAUUUUACUGCUUGAUAUAUUUCUUACUCGUGGUCAUUUUUUAGAGGCUGUCAGAGCAGGGGAUGUCAAUACUGUGUUUUUUGUGGUGGUUGAAGGUUGUUUGGCGUCCGAUGAAUUCAAAUGGUAUUAGGAAUUAUUGGUUUCAUUAUCUGUAUGAAUCAGUUUGUAGAACUAAAUCAUAAAAGCUUGUUUUUGCCCUACCCAUAGUUUAAUUGCCUGAACUACAAGAUAUUGAUAUUUUGGUGGAUUGAUUGGAUGGUAUCUUUAGAAGAUAUACAAAUGCUUUUAUCAAUCUCUGCAAGGAGAAAUGGCUUGAGGGGUUUGCUGGUUUGCAUUAUAGUUAUACUAUGUCUUCUUGGAAUUGUAUAUAAGAUGCACUUUUUUCUUUAAUUAUUCUUACUAAAGACUAAAGAGUACCGGCUUUUGUUUGUGUUUGUCUUUGUUACCAGAGAUUUGGAAGUACCACCAAGCUGGCCUUCCUAUUUGGACGUUCGACGCUUUGAAGAUUUAAGUAUCACCGACAAGCUAGCCUUCCUAUUUUGGACUUAUUUUGUUUUGAAUUCGACUAUAUCUGUUAUGGCUUCUGAUGAGGUGCAAGGCUUGUUGGGGAAAAUGCAUUUGUCCAAAAAUAUGUGCUUUCAAGUUUUAUUGUAUUAGAGAUAAAGUAUGUAACAUUACAUUAUGUUUGUGAGAUUGGGAAUGUGUUGUAGGCCUUUUCAUUUAAAAAAAAUUAAAGUUUUUCAUUUCGUCAAAUUUUUUUUAAUAUUUAAUUCAUGUUGGCACAAUUACAAUAUGAAGUGCCAACAUGUCUGGAAAA
Molecule: long non-coding RNA, 1851 nt
Filed under: Malus domestica (apple)
Lineage: Eukaryota; Viridiplantae; Streptophyta; Magnoliopsida; Rosales; Rosaceae
Description: long non-coding RNA (MDOM_LNC015779)
Source: RNAcentral